This 240-nucleotide non-coding RNA is filed under the name Caloramator mitchellensis. RNAcentral's name for it is "T-box sequence". It matches the Rfam family "T-box leader". Rfam says of the family: Uncharged tRNA acts as the effector for transcription antitermination of genes in the T-box leader family. T-boxes are found upstream of many aminoacyl-tRNA synthetase genes and some amino acid biosynthetic genes usually in Gram-positive bacteria. The record is from RNAcentral. Lineage: Bacteria; Bacillati; Bacillota; Clostridia; Eubacteriales; Clostridiaceae.
UUAAACACAAUGACCAGGUAAAGUAGGUUAUAUGAAUCAUACAGAGAGGAAUUCCAAGGCUGAGAGAAUUCUAUGAUGUAGUAUAUCUGAAGUGCGCCUGAGAGUGUUAUACCGAAAUCAAGUAGGUUGUUACGGGAUCUCCCGUUAUAGAGAUAUGGUGUGUUAGCACCAGAAUAGAUGAGAUGGGCAUUUUUUGCCUAAUCAGAGUGGGACCGUGGAAGUUAGCCUUCUGCCUCUGAA